RNAcentral lists this ribosomal RNA (279 nucleotides) under uncultured bacterium. RNAcentral's name for it is "partial 16S ribosomal RNA". It matches the Rfam family "Bacterial small subunit ribosomal RNA", at positions 506 to 784 of the family's 1533-position model. The record is from RNAcentral.
UGCCAGCAGCCGCGGUAACACGGGGGGCGCAAGCGUUAUUCGGAAUUAUUGGGCGUAAAGCGCGCGCAGGCGGAACUUCAAGUCAGAUGUGAAAUUUACAGGCCUAACCUGUAAGCUGCGUCUGAAACUGAAGAUCUAGAAUGAUGGAGAGGGAAGAGGAAUUUCACGUGGAGGGGUAAAAUCCGUAGAGAUGUGAAGGAACACCAGAGGCGAAGGCGUCUUCCUGGCCAUAUAUUGACGCUGAGGCGCGAAAGCGUGGGGAGCAAACAGGAUUAGAUA